Long non-coding RNA from Nerophis ophidion (straightnose pipefish), 987 nucleotides. RefSeq lists it as uncharacterized. The record is from RefSeq and is a predicted model, not a curated record. The transcript has 5 exons. Lineage: Eukaryota; Metazoa; Chordata; Actinopteri; Syngnathiformes; Syngnathidae.
ACUCAGCCACUCCCCCUCGUCACGUGACCGCCGCGGUCCAAUUAGUGGUGCUUAUAAGCCGGUAGCAGGAAGUAUCCAGGAGACAGGAGGUGAGGAGAUCGGUUGUAUUUCUGCUGAGAGAACUGCUUCACCACAGCAAAGUCUGGUGACAUUCAGCACAGCACGCAACUUGGAACCUGGUGUCGGAGCGUGACUCCGUCAAAAACCCUGGCAAGGGAGGCGGCUUGUGGUCCGAGUUUUGGGAGCAGCCACAGAUGGCCGGUGCCAAACCGCCAGUCCUCUUAAGUCCUGCACACAACUUUCUCUCUUGGCUUCAACUCCACUUUUUUGUUUUUUUUACAGCACAAGGAAGCCGGUGGUUCAUCCUGAUGAGAUCGUUAAAAGACCCUCUUUUCUUUUUAAGCUGAAGGCACUAUGAGGCCAAAUGAAGGCACUAUGAGGCCAAAUGAAGGCACUAUGAGGCCAAAUGAUUCUCUGCAUUUGACCCAUCACCCUUGAUCACCCCCUGGGAGGUGAGGGGAGCAGUGAGCAGCAGUGGUGGCCACGCCCGGGAAUCAUUUUUUGGUGAUUUAACCCCCAAUUCCAACCCUUGAUGCUGAGUGCCAAGCAGGGAGGGGUCACCAACACCAGGUCGCCCGUAAGGACCAGAUGAGUCGCCGGCAGGCCUGUUCUAAAAAUAGCUCAAAUAGCAGCACUUACCAGUGAGCUGCCUCUAUUUUUUAAAUUGUAUUUAUUUACUAGCAAGCUGGUCUCGCUUUGCUGGACAUUUUUAAUUCUAAGAGAGACAAAACUCAAAUAGAAUUUGAAAAUCCAGGAAAAUAUUUUAAAGACUUGGGCUUCACUUGUUUAAAUAAAUUAUUUUAUUUUUUUACUUUGCUUCUUAUAACUUUCAGAAAGACAAUUUUAGAGAAAAAAUACAGCCUUAAAAAUUAUUUUAGGAUUUUUAAACACAUAUACCUUUUUACCUUUUAAAUUCCUUCCUCUUCU